Molecule: non-coding RNA, 212 nt
Organism: Cinara cedri
Lineage: Eukaryota; Metazoa; Arthropoda; Insecta; Hemiptera; Aphididae
Source: the annotation of a GenBank genome assembly
GGCGAUUUUACGUCGUUAAAGUACCUAACGCACUAACGACGAAUUUUAAACGACACGUGACAAAUGGUUUUUUGAGCCGGGAGAAACGAGACGUAUUUUCGCAACUAAUUCCGUCAUACUCGUAAUAAUCAGUUUUGGGAAAGAUAACCGAUAUCUUUUUCUUCAGACAAAAGAUCAUUUUCGGUAAUUUAGAUGACUGCAUAGUAAUAAUA